CUACAACACUCGCUAUGACAUUAUUUGUUCAUGUCUCACGACACAACAUCAAAUAGUUUUAAGGGUUAACGUCAAAAGACACCCUCAAGAUUUGGGGUCAUUCUCAAUAUAGGUCCCCAAGUUUCAAUUCCAUCAAUUUACAACCUAUUAUUUUUAAAUCUAAUAAAGUUAAGCCUUUUGUCAAGUUUAACCGUUGGUCAAAAGUUAACUGAUGACAUGUUUAUUGCAGGGUCCACUUUUUUAGGUGAUGAAUAAUUAAAUAUUAAAAAAUUAGACGGAUAUGCAAAUAAAAAUAAAAACCUAUAACCCUUUUCUCUCUCUACACCACUAACCCCAAGCCUAGCCACCCUCUCUCCUCUCCCCCGACCAGUGACACCAAGCCCACAUCGUUACAACCUCCCGCGCCCUAUGGUUCGGGAAGGAUCAUCGAAAGGUGUUACCGCCGAAGCCGCCGAAGUACAUGGACAAAACGAUGUCAUGCGUCAUCCUCUCGUCGUCAACAACCCAGACAUCCACGGCUACCAGCUUCACGUCCACGACAUGUGUGGCUCGCCUCGCUCAUCUCUCUCUCGCUGAACCGGGUUGAGCUUGUCGAUUGUUAUAUGGAUACCUUCUGGGUAUCUAGUCUUUUGGCGUAUCUGAUUGUCAAAUAAAUUGUUGGGUUUAUGAAUUUAGAGAAUGAUGUUUUUUUUAAAGAAAUGUUACUUUGAAAUUGAUUGAAAGAGGAAGGGGUUGAUGAUGAAGGAGAUAAGUUUGUGAACCCCACAGAUGAUUUUAAAGGCUGAGAAGGGGUGUGGCAGCUGGGGUUUUUGGGUUUUGCUGGGAAACAGGGGAGAUGAGUUUAUGGUGUCUUUGGUUAGGUUGAUUGGGGCAGGGGAGAUUAUAGGGUGGGCUUAGGGUAACUGGUCGAGAGAAAGAAGAGAGAUGGGCGGGGCUUGGGGUUAGUGUGAGAGAGAGAGAGAGAGAGAGAGAGAGAGUGUUUGGUGGGAGAGCUGGGUACUAGAUUCCAAC
RNAcentral lists this long non-coding RNA (1011 nucleotides) under Prunus dulcis (almond). Its description in RNAcentral is "sRNA ncRNA". The record is from RNAcentral. Lineage: Eukaryota; Viridiplantae; Streptophyta; Magnoliopsida; Rosales; Rosaceae.